Lactuca sativa (garden lettuce) is the source of this 894-nucleotide long non-coding RNA. RefSeq lists it as uncharacterized. NCBI's taxonomy places the organism in Eukaryota, Viridiplantae, Streptophyta, Magnoliopsida, Asterales, Asteraceae. The record is from RefSeq and is a predicted model, not a curated record.
UUUGACUUGGUUAUUUAAUCCUCAGAUGAAAUACCGACAAAAAUCUCUCAAUGUUGGUCAUUCUCCCCUAUAUCAGGCACGCUCAAUUCCCCGUCUCAAGUUACAGAUUCAACUCCAUUUAGCAUCUUGAUAGUUUUUCUCUAUAAAACCCUAGAAUCAAAAACACCGUCUUCGUUUCUCUUAGUCUCCACCACAGCCGCUAAACCCUUCAAUCGUCCCGCCAGGUACACCGUUGUCUAUGUUUUACAAUUUGCUGCCCGGAAAGAAAGAGCAAUGAAGUUGUGACCAUAUACAGAGACUACAUAAAAUCGAAAUGAAAAUAAAAGAUAAUAUCAAAUCCUUUGAAGGUAAUCUCGACCUUUGAGACAACAAAUCCUAGAUCUGUCAAAAAAACCCUUUGAUUUCAUCAGGUGUUUCAUGGAUUCAAAAGACUAAGGAUUCAAAGAGAAGAGCUUCACAUGGAAUCUAGAAGAUUACUCCCCAGCAAAAGCAAACAUAAGCCAAAGGUAAAAUAGGUUUCGGUUUUUGUUUUUUAAUUUGGAAUUUCUUUUUUAAUAUGAAUGAUGCUUGUAAAUGUCCGCAUAUGGUCUUUGUAGUGGUGGUUUGUUCCCACUUAUUCUCUCACCAAGAUGAGGUUUUUGUAGAUUUGCACAACUAUGUUAUGAAAUAGAUACGUAAGACUUGAUGACCUUAUUAGGAAUCUUUCUUAUUGUCAUUAUUGGGUAUGAAAAUUUUAAAAACCUCAAUACCACCAUUUUCUGUAACCUAAAGUCAACUCAACUUUGACUCAUUCCAUAUUUCCAUUUUCGUGACUUAGUUCUGUUUAAUAUGUUCUAUGUUCAAUUGUUCAUGUGUAAAGUUUUCAAUAUCCCCAAAAUGAGAAAUUACUUCAUG